UCUCGUUGGUGACCAGCGGAGGGUCAUUACCGAGUCUAACAACUCAUCAACCCUGUGAACAUACCUAAACGUUGCUUCGGCGGGAACAGACGGCCCCGUAACACGGGCCGCCCCCGCCAGAGGACCCCCUAACUCUGUUUCUAUAAAUGUUUUUUCUGAGUAAACAAGCAAAUAAAUUAAAACUUUCAACAACGGAUCUCUUGGCUCUGGCAUCGAUGAAGAACGCAGCGAAAUGCGAUAAGUAAUGUGAAUUGCAGAAUUCAGUGAAUCAUCGAAUCUUUGAACGCACAUUGCGCCCGCCAGUAUUCUGGCGGGCAUGCCUGUUCGAGCGUCAUUACAACCCUCAGGCCCCCGGGCCUGGCGUUGGGGAUCGGCGGAGCCCCCCGUGGGCACACGCCGGUCCCCCMAAUACAGUGGCGGUCCCGCCGCAGCUUCCAUUGCGUAGUAGCUAACACCUCGCAACUGGAGAGCGGCGCGGCCACGCCGUAAAACACCCAACUUCUGAAUGUUGACCUCGAAUCAGGUAGGAAUACCCGCUGAACUUAAGCAUAUCAAUAAGCGGAGGAAAAGAAACCAACAGGGAUUGCCCCAGUAACGGCGAGUGAAGCGGCAACAGCUCAAAUUUGAAAUCUGGCUCUCGGGCCCGAGUUGUAAUUUGUAGAGGAUGCUUUUGGUGAGGUGCCUUCCGAGUUCCCUGGAACGGGACGCCAUAGAGGGUGAGAGCCCCGUCUGGUUGGACACCGACCCUCUGUAAAGCUCCUUCGACGAGUCGAGUAGUUUGGGAAUGCUGCUCUAAAUGGGAGGUAUAUGUCUUCUAAAGCUAAAUACCGGCCAGAGACCGAUAGCGCACAAGUAGAGUGAUCGAAAGAUGAAAAGAACUUUGAAAAGAGAGUUAAAAAGUACGUGAAAUUGUUGAAAGGGAAGCGCUUGUGACCAGACUUGGGCUUGGUUGAUCAUCCGGGGUUCUCCCCGGUGCACUCUUCCGGCCCAGGCCAGCAUCAGUUCGCCCUGGGGGACAAAGGCUUCGGGAAUGUGGCUCUCUCCGGGGAGUGUUAUAGCCCGCUGCGUAAUACCCUGUGGCGGACUGAGGUUCGCGCAUCGCAAGGAUGCUGC
RNAcentral lists this ribosomal RNA (1113 nucleotides) under Fusarium sp. WF139. Its description in RNAcentral is "eukaryotic LSU rRNA". The stretch from base 510 to 1113 matches the Rfam family "Eukaryotic large subunit ribosomal RNA", at positions 1 to 629 of the family's 3401-position model. Lineage: Eukaryota; Fungi; Ascomycota; Sordariomycetes; Hypocreales; Nectriaceae. The record is from RNAcentral.